Molecule: ribosomal RNA, 517 nt
Filed under: uncultured Gram-positive bacterium
Lineage: Bacteria
Description: bacterial SSU rRNA
Rfam family: Bacterial small subunit ribosomal RNA
Source: RNAcentral
AGAGUUUGAUCCUGGCUCAGGAAUGAACGCUGGCGGCGUGCUUACACAUGCAAGUCGAACGGAGUGCUCAUGACAGAGGAUUCGUCCAAUGGAUUGAGUUACUUAGUGGCGGACGGGUGAGUAACGCGUGAGGAACCUGCCUCGGAGUGGGGAAUAACACAACGAAAGCUGUGCUAAUACCGCAUGAUACAGUUGGGUCGCAUGACUCUGACUGUCAAAGAUUUAUCGCUCUGAGAUGGCCUCGCGUCUGAUUAGCUAGUUGGCGGGGUAACGGCCCACCAAGGCGACGAUCAGUAGCCGGACUGAGAGGUUGACCGGCCACAUUGGGACUGAGACACGGCCCAGACUCCUACGGGAGGCAGCAGUGGGGAAUAUUGGGCAAUGGGCGCAAGCCUGACCCAGCAACGCCGCGUGAAGGAAGAAGGCUUUCGGGUUGUAAACUUCUUUUCUCAGGGACGAAGCAAGUGACGGUACCUGAGGAAUAAGCCACGGCUAACUACGUGCCAGCAGCCGCGGU